Molecule: long non-coding RNA, 2248 nt
Organism: Triticum dicoccoides
Lineage: Eukaryota; Viridiplantae; Streptophyta; Magnoliopsida; Poales; Poaceae
Exons: 6
Source: RefSeq, a predicted model, not a curated record
GCGCCGUCAUCCCCGCCUCCUGCCGGUGCGCCGCCGGACCCUCCUUCUUCCCUAGAGCGCCGCCACCCCGCUGCCUCCUACCGGCGUGCCGCCGGACCCUCCUUUUUCCCUGGAGCGCUGCCACCCCGCUGCCCCCGCCAUCUCCCACCAUGGGGUAACCCUAGAUGGCCGUCGGCCCGCCGCUGCCGACGUCGCCUCCUUCUCCCUUGGCCCUCAGCCACCCAACGGCCGCUGCAUCACGCCGAUUAGGUCCUACCCCAGGACAGCCACGGGUGUCGUCAUCUCCAGAAGCCUGUCCCCAAAUCGUUGCCACCUGCGCCUCCGAUUCAGCCAAUGUCGAUCAUCUCCCUCUUCGUCCUCCACGGGUGUUGCUCUGCCUCGGUCUAUAAUUAACGUCCAUGCCCCAACGCCUUCUCGCCGUUCCUCCCCUGAGCGCGCCCUGCGGCUAACCCUAGGGACCGAGUCGGGCUUGCCGGCGCGGCCGCAUCGUGUGCUGUUGGCACCCCACUCCACCUGCUCUGCUGCGCCCCGGUCUCCAACAGCCAUUCUGAGGAACCCAUCUCGCCGCCACCAUCGUCUGCUAUCCUCCAGCAAGUGUGCUGCGGUACGCCGAUGUCCUCCGAUCGGCAAGCUCCGCCCCUGCCGGCAUUGUCCACCCACACCAUGUCCUCCUCUUUGCCAAGCAGCGUUAAGCGGUGAUUAGCAGAAGUCCAAGACCACACUGUAGGCAGGAAAAAGGAAUGUUCUUGGGUAAAGAGGUCAAUCUCUUCCAAUACACAAUUGUUGAGGUAUGUAUCAAUGUCUAAAGGUUAAAAAAGAACCAGGUUACACCAUACGGUUUAGGGCGUGUUCGGCAGUCCACCAGCUCCUGGCUCCUUCAACUCCACGGGUGGAGCUGAGCCGAACGCGCUAACUCCUGGAGUUGAAAACGAGAAGCCAGUGAUUUGUGUAGUGCAAAAAACAAGGAGUCGUGGAGUCAAUAAAACCGAGCUCCACCGAACAGAGAAGUGAGAGUUCAAGGAUAUUACACCCCCCUGCCACCGCCAAGUGACUCGCUGUGAACCGGUACGAGGAAACAACACGAGCGGACAGCCAUAUGAGGCCAGCCUCCGACCAGGCCCAGCCAUUUAGACAGCCCACUAUUCCUUUUCCCAGAUCAAAUCCCAAUAAAGGUAGCCACCGACCAGGCCCAGCCUUUUACAAAGCUCGUGACUAGAAGCUAACGCACCGAACGGAUUGGUCGCUCCAGGAUUUGACGCGAGAAGCCGGCUGCUGGCUGGCGGCGAUGGAGUUGGGGAGUUAGCAGCUGUGGUGGACUACCGAACACGCCCUUAGGUUGCUCACCUUGGUUGCUGACCAGGUGUUCAAAAAUCUUAGUGAGAGAGGACAUUGACGGUGCGAGAAUGGAACAUAACAAGUUUUGUGUGUGUGUGUGUGUGUGUGUGCAUUACCGAAACAUUGCACGACAUGUGAGUCUACAUCUAACUUCCUUUCAGCUUUCUAUUGGAAAUAAUUCUUUAGAAAUUUUCACUUGGACACUUAUCCUCUCUUUGUUUAUCAUUUCAUAGGACUAAGAAAAAGUUCAUCUGUGUGUAACUACCAGGUUCUUGAAGUCCGCCCUCUCAUUGAUUGGAACAGGGUGAAAGUUGUGGAAUUUUUGCUGUGACCGCCUGGACUACGAUGACAGGGCUGACAAAGAUGAAGCCAAGUUGAAGAUUCAGAGUUGCAAGGCAGGCAUAGUUAACAGGGAUAAGAAACUAUAGAAGAUUUAUCAAAUCAGACAUGGGCUUGGUUAUGCAAUGAUUCAUUGGGAUCUGAGAAGGUUAUAGGGGUGGCCCGAUAUCAUGGAGACUUGGAGAGGCGCCGUGCUCGGUCCAGUGAGGAGCUCCGGGUCAACACUGUGGCUGCGUGGUGGGCAUGAACCAUGGUUUUGUCAUCCUUGAACCGGUCUGCCCUCAAACGAACCCCUUAGAUGCAGCCAACACCUUGUAGCCCACACAUUACUCUCUUCAGGUCGCCGUUUUGGACCGUGUAGCGGUGUCGCCCGAGAGCCACGCGACUCCCAUAUCGCCCCUCUGGGAGAGCCAUAUUAGGGUGGAUCUAGGCCCAUGCCCGACGAAGAGGGGGUGGCGGAGGGAAGGACUGCUGGUGGUGGCAGUCAUUUGGUGGCGACGACUGGUGAAGCGUGGAAAAGGUCGGGGAGGUGGACCAUUGGGGGAAUGUCAGUGACACCGCCGCUGCUUUCUCU